Molecule: RNA transcript, 1104 nt
Organism: Mytilus californianus (California mussel)
Lineage: Eukaryota; Metazoa; Mollusca; Bivalvia; Mytilida; Mytilidae
Exons: 5
Source: RefSeq, a predicted model, not a curated record
AAAGAUAGUAUAAAUUGUGUUAUUUGAUAUAUUCAGCCUACAAGCAGCCACAUCAGAUUGACAUGGUUGAGGUCAAACACACGUUACAGAAUAAAAUGAGAUUAUACGUACUAUUUGCUACGUGUGUGUUAUCAGUCAUUUGUACACCCACAGGUGAUUAUUGCACGGCUCCAUUUUAGCGAAUUGGUAAAUGUUGUUACUUUAUAAGUAACGAAAAAGGUGACUGGAGAUGCUGCUGCAUAUGUACUAUGUGCUGAUCGCGGAGCAUAUCUUGCCAAUUUUGGAACCUUAGAAGAAGCCAUGAGGAUGAAAUACGAACUGUUAGUCGGAAAAACAGGUCUACUCUACUACAUUGGUGGUCGUAAGAUGAACAGAAACAUUGCUGGAGGUGAUUGGAAGUGGUUCAAAAACGGAGAGAGGUCCAACAUUACGUAUUUCCUUUUUCCAAAAAGCCAGCCAAAUGGAAGUUCUCAAGACCCGCAGGACUGUUUGUCAUUCUGGUCUCCGGAGUAUAACUUCAAUGAUAUUCAUUGUGAUCACAGCAACCUUUAUGGAGGAUACAUUUGUGAAAAAUAACAAAUAAGAUCGAAUCCUGUAUUAGUUGAAAAGAUGAAUGCCUUUCAAGCAGUUAGAUUAAAACAAAAUGUAUAUAUACUAGUAUAUAAAUUCCUGGGAAAUAUAGUUAAAUAGAAUGUUGUCUUAUAAGUCUUUGAAAAAAUCCAGUUUAGUAUAUCUUAAAUUAAGGAAUAUAUUUCCAUCAUCAAUACAUGUAGCUCUGAGUUCUGUCCGGGUUUUCGCUAGCUAUACUUUUUGGUAAUUUUCGGUUAUAUCAGCUCUUCAAAGUUUCUAAUGGGUUUUGGACUUCAAAUAAUGUAGCCACCUUAUUUAGUAAAGUUCCGCUUUUUAUCGUUUUUAUUCUUUUAUCAUUUGAAAUUGUGGAUCCGCAAUUAUAAUGGAAUUUGUCAUUGCGCUAUUUAAAAGCUACUAAUUGUAUUUUAUUAAUAUAUAUUUUGCUAAAUAAUAUUUCAAUAAUAUCAAUAUUCAGUAAAUGUUAUUUCAUCUCCUAGUUGAUGGUAUUCACUAUUAAAAAACACCCAUCAAAGA